GAUGAACGCUGGCGGCGUGCCUAAUACAUGCAAGUCGAGCGAACAGACGAGGAGCUUGCUCCUCUGACGUUAGCGGCGGACGGGUGAGUAACACGUGGAUAACCUACCUAUAAGACUGGGAUAACUUCGGGAAACCGGAGCUAAUACCGGAUAAUAUAUUGAACCGCAUGGUUCAAUAGUGAAAGACGGUUUUGCUGUCACUUAUAGAUGGAUCCGCGCCGCAUUAGCUAGUUGGUAAGGUAACGGCUUACCAAGGCGACGAUGCGUAGCCGACCUGAGAGGGUGAUCGGCCACACUGGAACUGAGACACGGUCCAGACUCCUACGGGAGGCAGCAGUAGGGAAUCUUCCGCAAUGGGCGAAAGCUUGACGGAGCAACGCCGCGUGAGUGAUGAAGGUCUUCGGAUCGUAAAACUCUGUUAUUAGGGAAGAACGAAUGUGUAAGUAACUAUGCACGUCUUGACGGUACCUAAUCAGAAAGCCACGGCUAACUACGUG
RNAcentral lists this ribosomal RNA (497 nucleotides) under uncultured bacterium. RNAcentral describes it as "partial 16S ribosomal RNA". It matches the Rfam family "Bacterial small subunit ribosomal RNA", at positions 28 to 507 of the family's 1533-position model. The record is from RNAcentral.